GACGAACGCUGGCGGCGUGCUUAACACAUGCAAGUCGAACGGAAAGGCGAUGCUUUUGUGGGGUGCUUGUUUGGCGAGCGGGUGAGUAAAACGUGUGUAACCUGCCCUUGUAUUUGGGAUAUCUUCAGGAAACUGGGGCUAAUACCGGAUAUGAGCUCCUGAUGCAUGGUGGUGGUUGGUAAGUUUCGGCGGUUGGGGAUAGACUCGCAGCUUAUCAGCUUGUUGGUCUGGUUGUUAAUUACCAAGGCUAUGAAGGAUAGCCUGCCUGGGAGGGUGACCAGCGACAAUGGGACUGAGAUACGGAGCAGACUCCAACGGGCGGCAGCAGGCGAAAAUAUUGCACAACAAGCCGGAGCCAGAUGCAGCAACCCCGCGUGCGGGAUGAUGGCCUACGGGUGAUAAACAGAUUUGGCAUGUAACGAAGAGAGAGUGACGGUAACGAGUAAAAAAGCACCGGCUAACUACGUG
This 468-nucleotide ribosomal RNA is filed under the name uncultured bacterium. Its description in RNAcentral is "partial 16S ribosomal RNA". It matches the Rfam family "Bacterial small subunit ribosomal RNA", at positions 28 to 507 of the family's 1533-position model. The record is from RNAcentral.